RNAcentral lists this ribosomal RNA (270 nucleotides) under uncultured archaeon. RNAcentral describes it as "partial 16S ribosomal RNA". It matches the Rfam family "Archaeal small subunit ribosomal RNA", at positions 477 to 747 of the family's 1478-position model. The record is from RNAcentral.
CAGCACCUCAAGUGGUCAGGAUGAUUAUUGGGCCUAAAGCAUCCGUAGCCGGCUCUGUAAGUUUUCGGUUAAAUCUGUAUGCUCAACAUACAGGCUGCCGGGAAUACUGCAGAGCUAGGGAGUGGGAGAGGUAGACGGUACUCGGUAGGAAGGGGUAAAAUCCUUUGAUCUAUUGAUGACCACCUGUGGCGAAGGCGGUCUACCAGAGCACGUCCGACGGUGAGGGAUGAAAGCUGGGGGAGCAAACCGGAUUAGAGACCCGAGUAGUCC